UGGGGAAUAUUGCACAAUGGGGGAAACCCUGAUGCAGCGACGCCGCGUGAGCGAAGAAGGUUUUCGAAUCGUAAAGCUCUGUCCUAUGAGAAGAUAAUGACGGUACCGGAAUAGAAAGCCACGGCUAACUACGUGCCAGCAGCCGCGGUAAUACGUAGGUGGCAAGCGUUGUCCGGAAUUAUUGGGCGUAAAGCGCGCGCAGGCGGACUAGCCAGUCAGUCUUAAAAGUUCGGGGCUUAACCCCGUGAUGGGAUUGAAACUACUAGUCUAGAGUAUCGGAGAGGAAAGUGGAAUUCCUAGUGUAGCGGUGAAAUGCGUAGAUAUUAGGAAGAACACCAGUGGCGAAGGCGACUUUCUGGACGAACACUGACGCUGAGGCGCGAAAGCCAGGGGAGCGAACGGG
RNAcentral lists this ribosomal RNA (403 nucleotides) under Verrucomicrobiota bacterium. Its description in RNAcentral is "Verrucomicrobia bacterium partial 16S ribosomal RNA". It matches the Rfam family "Bacterial small subunit ribosomal RNA", at positions 355 to 776 of the family's 1533-position model. The record is from RNAcentral. Lineage: Bacteria; Pseudomonadati; Verrucomicrobiota.